Molecule: long non-coding RNA, 732 nt
Organism: Ictalurus punctatus (channel catfish)
Lineage: Eukaryota; Metazoa; Chordata; Actinopteri; Siluriformes; Ictaluridae
Source: Ensembl
GAGUAAACACAGGAGAUGGUGUUGAUUGAUAAACACAGGAGAUGGUGUUGAUGAGUAAACACAGGAGAUGGUGUUGAUGAGUAAACACAGGAGAUGGUGUUGAUGAUGAGUAAACACAGGAGAUGGUGUUGAUGGUGAGUAAACACAGGAGAUGGUGUUGAUGGUGAGUAAACACAGGAGUUGGUGUUGAUGGUGAGUAAACACAGGAGAUGGUGUUUGAUGAUAAACACAGGAGAUGGUGUUGAUGAGUAAACACAGGAGAUGGUGUGUAGUAGGAUGGUUGAGUAAACACAGAGAUGGUGUUGAUGUUGAGUAAACACAGGAGUUGGUGUUGAUGUUGAGUAAACACAGGAGAUGGUGUUGAUGAGUAACACAGGAGAUGGUGUUGAUGGUGAGUAAACACAGGAGAUGGUGUUGAUGGUGAGUAAGCACAGGAGAUGGUGUUGAUGGUGAGUAAACACAGGAGGAAUUGAGUAGCACAUGCUGUAUCACAUGAGCCUGCUCUUGGUGUGGGGGAUUUUAUAACACUGAUGGGUUUAAAUCAACUGAAAAAAGAUGAUGAUUAGAAAAACAAACAUUGUUAUGCCCAUUAGCGCACAAGUUACAUGCAGCGUGUAAGAAUUACUUCCGCUCGUGUGAGUGGUUUGUCAUAUCAUGGUUAUCUUUUACAAUCCUUCAAUGGUUUUACAAAUAGUAAUCAUAGCUUCAAUCUCAGCUAUCUCGGUGAAUCAG